GAUGAACGCUGGCGGCGUGCCUAAUACAUGCAAGUCGAGCGAACAGACGAGGAGCUUGCUCCUCUGACGUUAGCGGCGGACGGGUGAGUAACACGUGGAUAACCUACCUAUAAGACUGGGAUAACUUCGGGAAACCGGAGCUAAUACCGGAUAAUAUGUUGAACCGCAUGGUUCAAUAGUGAAAGACGGUUUUGCUGUCACUUAUAGAUGGAUCCGCGCCGCAUUAGCUAGUUGGUAAGGUAACGGCUUACCAAGGCAACGAUGCGUAGCCGACCUGAGAGGGUGAUCGGCCACACUGGAACUGAGACACGGUCCAGACUCCUACGGGAGGCAGCAGCAGGGAAUCUUCCGCAAUGGGCGAAAGCCUGACGGAGCAACGCCGCGUGAGUGAUGAAGGUCUUCGGAUCGUAAAACUCUGUUAUUAGGGAAGAACAAAUGUGUAAGUAACUAUGCACGUCUUGACGGUACCUAAUCAGAAAGCCACGGCUAACUACGUG
RNAcentral lists this ribosomal RNA (497 nucleotides) under uncultured bacterium. RNAcentral describes it as "partial 16S ribosomal RNA". It matches the Rfam family "Bacterial small subunit ribosomal RNA", at positions 28 to 507 of the family's 1533-position model. The record is from RNAcentral.